Molecule: RNase P RNA, 364 nt
Filed under: Cnuibacter physcomitrellae
Lineage: Bacteria; Bacillati; Actinomycetota; Actinomycetes; Micrococcales; Microbacteriaceae
Also listed under: 1 other name
Description: Bacterial RNase P class A
Rfam family: Bacterial RNase P class A
About the family: Ribonuclease P (RNase P) is a ubiquitous endoribonuclease, found in archaea, bacteria and eukarya as well as chloroplasts and mitochondria. Its best characterised activity is the generation of mature 5'-ends of tRNAs by cleaving the 5'-leader elements of precursor-tRNAs.
Source: Rfam by way of RNAcentral
AUGGGUCGGCGGACGGUCGCGUCGCGGGGCGAGAGCCCCGCGCCGAGGAACGUCCGGGCUCCACAGAGCAGGGCGGUGGGUAACACCCACCCGGGGUGACCCGCGAGACAGUGCCACAGAGAACAGACCGCCGGAGGGGAACCUCCGGUAAGGGUGAAACGGUGGAGUAAGAGACCACCAGCGACCGGGGUGACCCGGCCGGCUAGGCAAACCUCGUCCGGAGCAAGGUCAGACAGGAAGCGUCGAGGUGGCUCGCCGAGCUUCCGGGUAGACCGCUGGAGGGCCGUGGCAACACGUCCCCGAGAGAGAUGGCCGUCACGGAGGAGACUCCGUACAGAACCCGGCGUACAGCCGGCCCAUUCAC